Molecule: ribosomal RNA, 253 nt
Filed under: uncultured bacterium
Lineage: Bacteria
Description: partial 16S ribosomal RNA
Rfam family: Bacterial small subunit ribosomal RNA
Source: RNAcentral
UACAGAGGUCCCAAGCGUUGUUCGGAUUCACUGGGCGUAAAGGGUGCGUAGGUGGUGAGGUAAGUCGGAUGUGAAAGCUCGGAGCUCAACUCCGAAAUGGCAUUGGAAACUACCUUGCUCGAGGGAUGGAGGGGGGACUGGAAUUUACGGUGUAGCGGUGAAAUGCGUAGAUAUCGUAAGGAAGACCAGUGGCGAAGGCGGGUCUCUGGACAGUUCCUGACGCUGAGGCACGAAGGUCAGGGGAGCAAACGGG